AUUGAACGCUGGCGGCAUGCUUUACACAUGCAAGUCGAACGGCAGCGCGGGCUUCGGCCUGGCGGCGAGUUGCGAACGGGUGAGUAAUGCAUCGGAACGUGCCCAGUAGUGGGGGAUAGCCCGGCGAAAGCCGGAUUAAUACCGCAUACGACCUGAGGGUGAAAGCGGGGGACCGAAAGGCCUCGCGCUAUUGGAGCGGCCGAUGUCGGAUUAGCUAGUUGGUGGGGUAAAGGCUUACCAAGGCGACGAUCCGUAGCUGGUCUGAGAGGACGACCAGCCACACUGGGACUGAGACACGGCCCAGACUCCUACGGGAGGCAGCAGUGGGGAAUUUUGGACAAUGGGGGCAACCCUGAUCCAGCCAUGCCGCGUGCGGGAAGAAGGCCUUCGGGUUGUAAACCGCUUUUGUUCGGGAAGAAAUCCUCUGGGCUAAUACCCCGGGGGGAUGACGGUACCGGAAGAAUAAGCACCGGCUAACUACGUG
This 484-nucleotide ribosomal RNA is filed under the name uncultured bacterium. RNAcentral's name for it is "partial 16S ribosomal RNA". It matches the Rfam family "Bacterial small subunit ribosomal RNA", at positions 28 to 507 of the family's 1533-position model. The record is from RNAcentral.